Arachis ipaensis is the source of this 955-nucleotide non-coding RNA. The record is from RefSeq and is a predicted model, not a curated record. Lineage: Eukaryota; Viridiplantae; Streptophyta; Magnoliopsida; Fabales; Fabaceae.
AAUCAGUUUCCACCUUCCAGAGAUCACCCACGGCCCCAAGCUCCAGAAGGCAGAAACCACCCAAGCACAGUUCACCACCCAGUCACACACAGCCAUCAGCCUCUUCGCAGUCGCAUACCCACCAGCCCACCACCACCAAACGAGCAGCCACAGCAGCGACGAUGUUGACCACCGCAACCACCACCGUCGUUGCCGAGCUCGCCUCCUCCUUGGUCGUCGCCGAGCUCGCCUACUCGUUGGUCGUCGCCGACACCGCGUCCUCGCCGUUACUCGCCUCCUCCUAAUCUACUAAUCCGGGAAGCCUGCCCCCAAGCCUAGCCUCCACCACCGCCUUGUGCCUCUAUUGCCGCUGCGCCAUUCGUCGCACCGACCCCUGUUCGCUCUCAGACUCACCAGUCGCAGGCACGCUGUUUCUUCCUCGAGCGUCCGUCGUCUUCCUCUUCCCCUGGAGCUGCUGCAUGCCUGCAUACAAAGGAUUUCUUGAUUCUUGAAGGUCAUGAGGAAGCUCAAGAAGAGUUGCCUAAGAAAGCAAAAAUCUUCUUUAGUACUGCAGUUCAGAACUGGGAUGCUGACUUUUAUGUGAAAGUUGAUGACAGUAUUGACAUUGAUCUGGAGGGAUUAAUUGACCUUCUUAACCGCCGCCGCGGUCAGGAUGGGGCAUAUAUUGGAUGCAUGAAAUCUGGAGAAGUGAUAUCAGAAGAGGGCAAGGCAUGGUAUGAGCCUGAAUGGUGGAAAUUUGGGGAUGAAAAGUCGUAAGUGAUAUAACUUUCUAUGGAAGUUUUUGUUUAUUAAAGGAGAGAUUUAAGUAGCAAUGGUUACCUUACUGCAAUUACCUUGUCAUACCUUGUCAUUUAUGUGCGUUUUGAAUAUUGUCAUUUGAAGUUGUUUAUGACCUUUUAAUGAUAAAUUAUGUAUUGUACAUUUUGUGAAAUUGUUAAAUUUUGAAUUUUAUUAA